This 447-nucleotide ribosomal RNA is filed under the name uncultured bacterium. RNAcentral describes it as "bacterial SSU rRNA". It matches the Rfam family "Bacterial small subunit ribosomal RNA", at positions 330 to 793 of the family's 1533-position model. The record is from RNAcentral.
UCCAGACUCCUACGGGAGGCAGCAGUGGGGAAUAUUGCACAAUGGGGGGAACCCUGAUGCAGCGACGCCGCGUGAGUGAAGAAGUAUUUCGGUAUGUAAAGCUCUAUCAGCAGGGAAGAAAAUGACGGUACCUGACUAAGAAGCCCCGGCUAACUACGUGCCAGCAGCCGCGGUAAUACGUAGGGGGCAAGCGUUAACCGGAUUUACUGGGUGUAAAGGGAGCGCAGACGGCUGUGCAAGUCUGGAGUGAAAGGCGGGGGCCCAACCCCCGGACUGCUCUGGAAACUGUAAAGCUGGAGUGCAGGAGAGGGAAGCGGAAUUCCUAGUGUAGCGGUGAAAUGCGUAGAUAUUAGGAGGAACACCAGUGGCGAAGGCGGCUUACUGGACUGCAACUGACGUUGAGGCUCGAAAGCGUGGGGAGCAAACAGGAUUAGAUUCCCUUGUAAG